Molecule: ribosomal RNA, 653 nt
Filed under: uncultured bacterium
Lineage: Bacteria
Description: bacterial SSU rRNA
Rfam family: Bacterial small subunit ribosomal RNA
Source: RNAcentral
AAAAGGUGGCUAUGCUACCGCUUUUGGAUGGGCCCGCGGCGCAUUAGCUAGUUGGUGGGGUAAAGGCUUACCAAGGCAAUGAUGCGUAGCCGAACUGAGAGGUUGAUCGGCCACAUUGGGACUGAGACACGGCCCAAACUCCUACGGGAGGCAGCAGUAGGGAAUCUUCCACAAUGGGCGAAAGCCUGAUGGAGCAACGCCGCGUGGGUGAAGAAGGUCUUCGGAUCGUAAAACCCUGUUGUUAGAGAAGAGAGUGCGUGAGAGUAACUGUUCACGUUUCGACGGUAUCUAACCAGAAAGCCACGGCUAACUACGUGCCAGCAGCCGCGGUAAUACGUAGGUGGCAAGCGUUAUCCGGAUUUAUUGGGCGUAAAGGGAACGCAGGCGGUCUUUUAAGUCUGAUGUGAAAGCCUUCGGCUUAACCGGAGUAGUGCAUUGGAAACUGGGAGACUUGAGUGCAGAAGAGGAGAGUGGGACUCCAUGUGUAGCGGUGAAAUGCGUAGAUAUAUGGAAGAACACCAGUGGCGAAAGCGGCUCUCUGGUCUGUAACUGACGCUGAGGUUCGAAAGCGUGGGUAGCAAACAGGAUUAGAUACCCUGGUAGUCCACGCCGUAAACGAUGAAUGCUAAGUGUUGGAGGGUUUCCGCCCUUCA